Molecule: ribosomal RNA, 305 nt
Filed under: uncultured bacterium
Lineage: Bacteria
Description: bacterial SSU rRNA
Rfam family: Bacterial small subunit ribosomal RNA
Source: RNAcentral
UGCCUACGGGAGGCAGCAGUGGGGGAUAUUGCACAAUGGGGGAAACCCUGAUGCAGCGACGCCGCGUGUGGGAAGACGGUCCUCUGGAUUGUAAACCACUGUCCCCAGGGACGAAGAUGACGGUACCUGGGGAGGAAGCCCCGGCUAACUACGUGCCAGCAGCCGCGGUAAUACGUAGGGAGCGAGCGUUGUCCGGAUUUACUGGGUGUAAAGGGUGCGUAGGCGGCCCUGCAAGUCAGAAGUGAAAUCCAUGGGCUUAACCCGUGAACUGCUUUUGAAACUGCAGGACUUGAGUGGAGUAGAGG